RNAcentral lists this ribosomal RNA (561 nucleotides) under Tegenaria pagana. Its description in RNAcentral is "partial large subunit ribosomal RNA". The record is from RNAcentral. Lineage: Eukaryota; Metazoa; Arthropoda; Arachnida; Araneae; Agelenidae.
GUGGGCCCUCGAAAUCCUGUGGCGAGAGGAUUCAGUCUGGGGCAGCGGUCGUGCGGAUCGGAAGACCAGAAGGGCUUCCCCGGAAGGGGGCCGUCCGGUCGCACGGAGCGCCGCCGCACCCGACGCAUUUGUCUCUCGUCCGAAGGACGCCGCAGCCGGCUGGGUAGUGCAGACAAGACGACCUGUGGGGCGGGAGAUGGCAGGUGGCCGCUGGCGUGCCCUCGUGCUCGUCGGCGGUUGUUAGCCGUCCCGCCAGUGGUACGUCACCCGGCCGAGGUGUCGCGAGGCCCCUGCUGGGGCCUCAUCGUCUCCUCCCCCAGAGACGCGGGACAGAGUGUCGCAGGUGGAACCCGUCGCCCCGCACGCACCCCUGACGGGUGGUCGGGCGAACGGGAGACUCCGCUGGUGACGCCGGACCCGUUGGAGGCUGGAGGCUUGCGGCGAGUAGGUCGGUCACCCACCCGACCCGUCUUGAAACACGGACCAAGGAGUCUAACAUGUGCGCGAGUCAAUGGGUCUUGAACAGGCCCAGGGGCGCAAUGAAAGCAAAGGUCGGCCUCA